GUUUGAAGCCUGAAAUGUGGCAAAAGGUCGCAAAGUUCAAGGGGGUUGAAUACUUUCGCAAGGCACUGUAUAUAAAUAUAUAAAAAUAUGUUUUCUGACACGUGAUCACUUUUAGAUAUGGUCAUUUUUAUAAAUUCAUUGAAUGUUUGAGAAUGAAGUAUAGUAAGGCAUUUGUGAAAAUUCUAUAAGAAUAUUGUCAGAGGACAGACUCAGUUUUUGAAAUUAUUUUUAUUGACUGUUCAACUCAACCUGAUCUUGGACAGUUUUUUUUUUAGUUUACCAGUGAUUUUGUGUGGCCUACCACUUCGCGGCUGAGCCGUUGUUGCUCCUAGACGUUUCCACUUCAAAAUACCACUUACAGUUGACCGGAGCAGAAAUUUGACAAACUGACUUAUUGGAAAGGUGUCAUCCUAUGACGGUGCCAUGUUGAAAGUCACUGAGCUCUACAGUAAAGCCAUUCUACUGCCAAUGAUUGUCUAUGGAGAUUUUAUACACCUGUCCGCAACGGGUGUGACUGAAAGAGCCGAACCCACUUAUUUGAAGGUGUCCAAAUACUUUUGUGUUAACGGUUAAGUCUUUGGAUAGUGGAUUUUGCAGAUUCCCUUGGCCUCCUGUUGGUUCACUUUUGUUCUUGCUGUGGUUUAUUUCUAGCCUUUUUUCUUUCAACGACAUGUUCAUUGACGAGCCUAACUUUUCUACCUUUGAAAGCCUCUGUAGAUUAACCUUCUGAUCUUUCUUUUUUGAUGUAAAUAAGGCGAACAAUGAUCUUUUUUCUAAUUUAAGAGUUGGCCUAGGCAUUGGUAAAAAAACCUAUGGAUCAUGUUUUUCUUUUUGUAAGUUUGUUUUUCAGCCAUUUUUGGAGUGACUUAUCUGUGGGCUAGUUUUUUCUUUUUUUGAGGAGAGAUUAAGAAAACACUGCUUCAAGACUUGCUUUGCAGUUACCCAUACUUUUCUCUUAUAAGGUCAACUAUGAAGUGAAAGUAUUUUUAAGGACACUUUCAUUGACAUUCUUAGGUGUACCUCUGACACCUGUUGCAUCACAAGGUAUGCAAGUAAAUGUGUGACAGAUGCGCAUUGCAGCUUUUUCUACUGUUUGCCAUUCAAACUUUAAAACAUGCAAACCGGUCUGGAAUGGUGUGCUUGUAUACAGUGUUUUGAUACCAGUUAUUCUAGAGCCUGACGGAUAUGGGAUUUUUGUAUCUAAUUUUAGAGGGGAAAUAUUCACAGAUAAUUGAUAUUGGGCCUAUAUUUUUAGGAUUUUAGCUGGAAUGAAACAUUUAAAAAUGUUUUCUGUAUGGAUUGUGAUUAAAAAGAUACUCAAAGAACAUUUAAUGUAAGCACCACAGAAAAAUUAGGAGCACCAGAAAGAUGCAGGAAAGAAAGUAAAUAAAAAAUGUACUCUAGUGAAAGGAAGAUAUACCGCCCUGAUUCCAGGAAACAACAUGAGCCUCUGAAGACUGAGCGGCCCCAUGCCAGAAUGAGGCUAGCAUUCCAUUUGUAGGGCUGUAGCCACUGGUAGUUGUCACUUGCAAGAUACAACAUUUUACGCUGGCACUGUGCUGCCACUCGCCCCUAAGUGUUGCUUCAGUGAAUGGUCCUUGCUAUCCGGGAUCCGUGAGACAACGCUACCGCAUAGUUUUGAAACGCCAUGUAAACACUGAGAAUGUAAAGCAACUUUUUUUUGUCUACCUGGCAUUUUCUUUGUUGGACUUUUUGUCACCUUUUUUAGACAAAUGAGUGAAUUGUCUUUAUUUAAAAAAAAAUUUUUUUUGUCAUUUUGACUCUAAUCCAAGUGCUUACAGUUUCGUGGAUGUUUUUGUGAUAUUCAUUUUUCUGAGCAGAUGUUAGUUUCAGCCAUUUUUGGAGGUUGAUUUAUUUAGUUUAUUUUUGCUUUUUUAUCCUGGGAGGAUUAACACAUUUUUUGAAGAAGUCUUCAUACUUCUCCCAUUUGUGGACUGCCUCAAAGGAGUUUCUUUCUGGCAUACUUUGGAGUGUCUUUGGAACAAAGGGUGCUGAGUCUCUGUGUCAACCGGCUGAGCAUGCGCCCCAAAAGCAGGAUGGUCUUUCUGUCCUCUCUGCCAUGUUUGAUGGAAUUCUACAGAAAUGAACGUGGUACCUGCAGGCGUUUGGAAAUGGCUCCCAAGGAUGAACCAGACUUCUGGAGGUCUACACUUUUUUUUUCUUUGAUGAUUUCUUUUGAUUUUCCCAUGAUGUCAAGCAAAGAGGCACUGAGUUUGAAGGUGGGUGUGAUGAAUUCCGAUAGAGACAUGCUGAUGGUUCCUGGGGUGAAUGGACUCCAUUUUGUGUUUACUGACGCAAGUGGGGGCGGCAGCGUAGCCUAGUGGUUAGAGCGUUGGAC
This is a long non-coding RNA of Oncorhynchus tshawytscha (Chinook salmon), 2359 nucleotides long. The record is from Ensembl. NCBI's taxonomy places the organism in Eukaryota, Metazoa, Chordata, Actinopteri, Salmoniformes, Salmonidae.